Molecule: ribosomal RNA, 317 nt
Filed under: uncultured bacterium
Lineage: Bacteria
Description: bacterial SSU rRNA
Rfam family: Bacterial small subunit ribosomal RNA
Source: RNAcentral
AGGGUUUGAUUCUGGCUCAGGAUGAACGCUGACAGAAUGCUUAACACAUGCAAGUCUACUUGAUCCUUCGGGUGAUGGUGGCGGACGGGUGAGUAACGCGUAAAGAACUUGCCUUGCAGUCUGGGACAACGUCUGGAAACGGACGCUAAUACCGGAUAUUAUGAUUGAAUCGCAUGAUUUAAUUAUGAAAGCUAUAUGCGCUGCGAGAGAGCUUUGCGUCCCAUUAGUUAGUUGGUGAGGUAACGGCUCACCAAGACGAUGAUGGGUAGCCGGCCUGAGAGGGUGAACGGCCACAAGGGGACUGAGACACGGCCCUU